RNAcentral lists this ribosomal RNA (695 nucleotides) under Ceratocarpus arenarius. Its description in RNAcentral is "eukaryotic LSU rRNA". The stretch from base 243 to 398 matches the Rfam family "5.8S ribosomal RNA". Lineage: Eukaryota; Viridiplantae; Streptophyta; Magnoliopsida; Caryophyllales; Amaranthaceae. The record is from RNAcentral.
GAAACCUGCCCAGCAGAGCGACCAGCGAACGUGUUUUAUCAUGAGCGGGGCGGGGUGCCUGUGCCUAGCGGCCUUGCCCCGGCCCCGUUGCCGGCCGGGAGCCCCCCCUCCGGAGGGGACUCCCGUCCGGCACAAUAACGAACCCCGGCGCGGUCCGCGCUAAGGAACAUGAAUACAAGCGUGCCCCCGCCUGCCGGUCCGCCGGACAGGGGGGCGGCACCAGGUCGUAUAUAACAUUAAACGACUCUCGGCAACGGAUAUCUCGGCUCUCGCAUCGAUGAAGAACGUAGCGAAAUGCGAUACUUGGUGUGAAUUGCAGAAUCCCGUGAACCAUCGAGUCUUUGAACGCAAGUUGCGCCCGAAGCCUUCUGGCCGAGGGCACGCCUGCCUGGGCGUCACGCAUCGCGUCUCCCCCAUCCCCCCCCGCAAGGGCGGGGAGGGGGAGGAGGAUGGCCUCCCAUGCCUCACCGGGCGUGGAUGGCCUAAAUAAGGAGCCCCAGGCCACGAGCUGCCGCGGCGAUAGGUGGUAGACAAGGCCUCCGGCCAAGGAUGCAUCGUGCCGUGCGGCGAGUGGCAGAUGGGGCCUCGCAGGACCCUUACUCGGUGCCCUUAGCGGCGCCGAAACCGUUGCGACCCCAGGUCAGGCGGGGCUACCCGCUGAGUUUAAGCAUAUCAAUAAGCGGAGGAAAAGAAAC